RNAcentral lists this ribosomal RNA (253 nucleotides) under uncultured bacterium. RNAcentral describes it as "partial 16S ribosomal RNA". It matches the Rfam family "Bacterial small subunit ribosomal RNA", at positions 524 to 776 of the family's 1533-position model. The record is from RNAcentral.
UACGUAGGGGGCAAGCGUUGUCCGGAUUUAUUGGGCGUAAAGAGCGUGUAGGCGGCCAGAUAGGUCCGUUGUGAAAACUGGAGGCUUAACCUCCAGCGGUCGAUGGAAACCAUCUGGCUAGAGUCCGGAAGAGGGAAGCGGAAUUUCCGGUGUAGCGGUGAAAUGCGUAGAUAUCGGAAGGAACACCAGUGGCGAAAGCUGCUUCCUGGUCCAGCACCGACGUCCAGGCACGAAAGCGUGGGGAGCAAACAGG